RNAcentral lists this microRNA precursor (206 nucleotides) under Oryza brachyantha (malo sina). RNAcentral's name for it is "MIR812 microRNA precursor family". It matches the Rfam family "MIR812 microRNA precursor family". Lineage: Eukaryota; Viridiplantae; Streptophyta; Magnoliopsida; Poales; Poaceae. The record is from Rfam by way of RNAcentral.
AAUAAGUUCAUUUCUUUAGUUUUGGAUACAAUAUUUCGACUCUUUAUCUUAUUUAAAAAUUUUUGUGAUUAAUAUUUUUAUUGUUACUAAAUGAUAAAACACGAAUAGCACUUUAUGCAUAACUAAUCUAUUAAGUUUUUGUACAUAAUUUUUAAAUAAGACGAAUAGUCAAACUUUGGACACAGAAAUCGAAAAAUAAAGUUAUU